AUCUGUGACAGCUUCCUGUUCUGUCCCCAGGUCACAGAGCAGCCUGGCAAUCGGGAUUAGCAUUGUCGAAAGCUAAUAACUGCAGCACUAUAUCCUGAGCAGCCGAAUCUGCAAUCAUCUUUUCAAGAGACUCCUGUAACCGAGCUAUAAAAUCAACAUAUGGUUUUCUUGGUCCCUGUUUUAUAGCACUAAAGGAAGGGUAUUGUUUCCCACCUGAAGUGAUUUUUUCCCCAGCUCUAAUGCACACUCCUCUAAGGUGUUCUAUGGCAUCAUCCUGCAUGACCAGUUAUGCAUCGAAACCAGCCCAGCCGCCAACCCCUAAAAGCUGGUCUGCAGCUAUAUUAAUUCGAGGUUGGGCCUGGGCAUUGUGAGCAGCCUGAAUGGAAGCUUCAUCUGCCCACGAAGUUUUAAAUUGUAAGAAAUGAGCAGGAGUUAGACAAGCUCAAGUAAGAGCGUCCUCAUCAGUAGGAAUCAUCCUAUUGGAAACAGCAACAUUCUUUAACUGUCCCAUUACCAAAGGAGAACCUGGUCCAUACUGAUUUAUAGCUUGUUUAAAUUCUUUGAGUAAUUUAAAAGGAAAAGGCUCAAAUGUAGCUAUAUUUCCCAUUGAUCUGGGGGGUGUAUUCUAACAGGGAACUGCCAAGCCUCGAAAUCACCCUCUCAUUUAGCUUGCUGAAUUCCUGCCUGAAUAGAACUAAGAGUGGUCACUCAAGGCACUGCUCAAACAGUCACUGGGGCAACUACUUUUCGCCCAGUGUCCUCCAGAAAAGAAAGAUCUGGAGGGUCUUUUUCUUCAAAGUAGUAAGGAGGGAGUGCAGAAGGGUAGGGAUGAACCUCUCCUUCCUUUGCUGCUUUAGCUUUAGCUGGUAAAUAAACAUGCUCUGUAACCCCUUCUGUUACUUCACUAUACUCUCCUUCCUCAUCAUCAGUGUGAAAAAGUUCCAAGGUGAAACGAACCAGACCCCACAUCUGUCCCAUUGUUACCCUGAUGCUUCUGAGCUCCCCUUCUUACUCACCACAGGGAUUGCUUUAAGAGUACUCGAGUGUCCUCCAGCUAGUUUUCCACUCCAACCAUUGUUCUGGCAACCCUUCGACCUGGAUUUGAGUCCCCACGAUGGACGCCACUUGCUGAGACCAGCUAGGUCAGGGAGACCCUAACCCAGCAGUACUAGAGGAAUUAAAGACACACACACAGAAAUAUAGAGGUGUGAGUUGGGAAAUCAGGGGUCUCACAGCCUUCAGAGCUGAGAGCCCUGAACAGAGAUUUACCCAUGUAUUUAUUAACAGCAAACCAGUCAUUAGCAUUGUUUCUAUAGAUGUUAAAUUAACUAAUAGUAUCCCUUAUGGGAAACGAAGGGAUGGGUCAAAUUAAAGGAACAGGCUGGGCUAGUUAACUGCAGCAG
This 1403-nucleotide long non-coding RNA is filed under the name Homo sapiens (human). RNAcentral's name for it is "HSALNT0131235". The record is from RNAcentral. Lineage: Eukaryota; Metazoa; Chordata; Mammalia; Primates; Hominidae.